RNAcentral lists this small nuclear RNA (145 nucleotides) under Salvator merianae (Argentine black and white tegu). RNAcentral describes it as "U4 spliceosomal RNA (ENSSMRG00000007716.1)". It matches the Rfam family "U4 spliceosomal RNA". From Rfam's summary of the family: U4 small nuclear RNA (U4 snRNA) is a component of the major U2-dependent spliceosome. The structure of U4 snRNA from yeast and human has been reported. Lineage: Eukaryota; Metazoa; Chordata; Lepidosauria; Squamata; Teiidae. The record is from Rfam by way of RNAcentral.
UGUUUUGUGCAACGGCAAUAUCAUAGACAGUGAGGUUUAUCUGAGACACAAUUAUUGCUAAUUGAAAACUAUGGUAUUCUUUUAGAGUCCAUGUCUGAGUUUGAAUUAGGUAAACGUGGCCUUCUGAUUAUCAAAUCCAGAUGGU